This 75-nucleotide transfer RNA is filed under the name bacterium. RNAcentral describes it as "tRNA-His". It matches the Rfam family "tRNA". Rfam says of the family: Transfer RNA (tRNA) molecules are approximately 80 nucleotides in length. Their secondary structure includes four short double-helical elements and three loops (D, anti-codon, and T loops). The record is from RNAcentral.
GUGCUUGUAGCUCAACGGUCAGAGCACUGCUCUGUGGCAGCAGUGACGAGGGUUCGACUCCCUUCAAGCACCCCA